This 418-nucleotide unclassified non-coding RNA is filed under the name soil metagenome. RNAcentral describes it as "partial contains 5.8S ribosomal RNA, internal transcribed spacer 2, and large subunit ribosomal RNA". The stretch from base 1 to 120 matches the Rfam family "5.8S ribosomal RNA", at positions 35 to 154 of the family's 154-position model. The record is from RNAcentral.
GAUGAAGAACGUAGCGAAAUGCGAUACGUAAUGUGAAUUGCAGAAUUCAGUGAAUCAUCGAAUCUUUGAACGCACAUUGCGCUCUCUGGUAUUCCGGAGAGCAUGCUUGUUUGAGUAUCAGUAAUCACCUCAACUCCUUUAUUGUAGUUGGACUUGAGCUAUCCCAACAGGACUUUUUGUUCCUGGCGGGAGGCUUGAAAUGCAGGUGCAGCUGGACUUUCUUCUGAGCUAUAAGCAUAUUUAUUUAAUCCCUUAACACGGAUUAUUACUUUUUUGCUGCAGCUAACAUAAAGGUUGAAUUUCCAUUGAGCUGACUGAUGCAGGAAUUUGGCAAGGAAUUUUUUUAAUGACUUGUUAAACUCGAUCUCAAAUCAAGUAAGACUACCCGCUGAACUUAAGCAUAUCAAUAAGCGGAGGA